GAAAAAGCUUCUUGUGUACUCAAAAUUGAACAGAGCUACCUUUUGACUAAAAAUGUCAUUUUUAAUGAGCAGUAUUUUCUGAACACAAAAUUUUGUACAAGAGUGUCUCCAUUGCAUUAAUUUAAUUUUGUUAUAAUUUUUUCCCAAUGAAAGGAAAAAAGUAUUUUGUAGCUCCUCUUCCUUAUGUAAAUUCUUAACAUAUAUUUUUGAGAAAUUUGCAUUUUUUAAAGUAAAAUUGUUAUCUUUGGAUACUUACUUUUCUUUGUUUUCCUCAUUUAAAGAGAAUAGGGAUAUUUCUGUAUUAUAUAUUUACUGUUUCAUCCCUCACCUUUGGAGUGACCAUGACCUUGGCAUGAAGGAGAGAAACCUCUGCUUUCCGCCUAUUGCUUCCAGGAGUUACUACCUUACUGGCCUUGGAGAUAAUGCUCUUUUGUGCCAACCUGAGGAUAAUUUUAACAAAAUGUAAGGCCAGUUUCAGAGGUUGUUUUGCCCCACAGAGAGACUAAUCCCAAUACAAGAAUAUUGACAACAAAAGGACAAAGUAGUUAUUGCACAGGACGGAAAGGUGUCUUUAUUUCAUCCCCUCCCCACUUCCAAAGAUGCAAAAGGCCUAAUUGAAUCAAGUCUCCUUUCCAUCUGGCAGGAGACAUUUUAAUAAGGACUUUUUAAUUUCCUACAUUUCUUGGCCAAGUGUCAUAGGAAUGUGGCCUCUUUUGAAAUUUAAAAAUGAAGAAGAAAAAAAGAGCAACACUAAGUUAAUAUAAUGGAGCAGAUACUUUUAAUGUUCUUACCAUUGAAUAUGCCAUUUAAGUUUGUUAUACUUGAAAUUAUAUGAUUUUUGUCCAGCUCUCUAAAUUGUCAUCUCCAAUAGAUUUAGAUGCUUCAAAUAGUAACCACAUUACUGUGAUAGGUAUUAUUAGAAAAAAGUUAUUUCUUGAGUUACACCUAAGAGGAAGAAGUAACAUGAUGGAAAGUGGUUGGAGAUAGCACCCAAUUAACAUCGACAGCCAAGUCUUCUAUUUCAGAAUAUUGAUUUAUUUCGCUUUGGCUUUUGAUGCCAUCAUGAGAUUUAAGUCUGCAGUUUCAAAAGCUCAUGCUACUUAGAUGAUUUUUGCAGCUUAAAAAAUUGCUUGUGACUGCAGUAUGUACACAGUUAAAAAGCUGUUCACUGCCCCUUUCAACCUUUUCAUUUUGAGCUUUACUAAGAGAAUGCUUUUAGGAACAGAAUUCCUAAAGUGUAAUUUUUUAUGUAUAAAUAAAGUUUUAUCUAUAUCUGAGAA
RNAcentral lists this long non-coding RNA (1280 nucleotides) under Homo sapiens (human). RNAcentral describes it as "non-protein coding lnc-GTF2F2-14:1". The record is from RNAcentral. Lineage: Eukaryota; Metazoa; Chordata; Mammalia; Primates; Hominidae.